This 445-nucleotide ribosomal RNA is filed under the name uncultured bacterium. RNAcentral describes it as "bacterial SSU rRNA". It matches the Rfam family "Bacterial small subunit ribosomal RNA", at positions 33 to 507 of the family's 1533-position model. The record is from RNAcentral.
GGCUACGAGGACGACGCUGGCGGUGUGCUUCACACAUGCAAGCCGAACGAGGUAGCAAUACCUAGUGGCGGACGGGUGAGUAACGCGUGGGAAUCUGCCUUUAGAUGGGGGAUAACGGGUCGGAAGACUCGCUAAAUACCGCAUAUGACGAAAGUUGAAAGGAGUAAUCCGUCUAAAGAUGAGCCCGCGUCCGAUUAGCUAGUUGGUAGAGUAAAAGCCUACCAAGGCGACGAUCGGUAGCUGGUCUGAGAGGAUGAUCAGCCACAAUGGGACUGAGACACGGCCCAUACUCCUACGGGAGGCAGCAGUGGGGAAUUUUACGCAAUGGGCGAAAGCCUGACGUAGCGACACCGCGUGAGCGAAGAAGCCCCUUGGGGUGUAAAGCUCUGUCAGCUGGAACGAAAAAAUGACGGUACCAGCAGAGGAAGCAUCGGCUAACUACGUG